Rhodamnia argentea is the source of this 2307-nucleotide RNA transcript. RefSeq lists it as uncharacterized. The transcript has 11 exons. Lineage: Eukaryota; Viridiplantae; Streptophyta; Magnoliopsida; Myrtales; Myrtaceae. The record is from RefSeq and is a predicted model, not a curated record.
AUCUGGAAAAUGUCCCAUUUUGACGUCUCGUUGAGAAUGUCACCGAAUCACUGCGAUCUUCGUCUUCUGCAUCUCUACUUCUUCUCCGCUCCAAUGUCCGAUCAUACUCAUUCGCUCCAUACCCAGUUCACAUAAACCCUAAAAAUCGCUUUUUUUUUUUUCCCUUCACGAAAAUGACCUUCUCGGCUACAUUGGUCACUCCUUCCGACCAUUUGUUCUCGUUCUCCGACGCUCGCUCUCUCUCGCUGUGCCGUCGCUUCCCCAUCUUCGUCAGACUUGGCAAUCUCCGAUGCUCGAGGCAUAGGCCGCUUCGCCUCUCGGCUUCGCUCGCCGAGAGAAGAAGCCUCGACCUCUCGUGGGCCGACAGUGAUUGCGCGAGCUCCGAUUCCGAUUUCAAUGGCUGGGCCGCGGUCGAAUCUCAGCCCCAGAGGAAGAGAAAGGGAGUGCCAACGUAUGCUAUUGGGGCCGUUGGGACUUCACUCACUGUUUUGGUUGCUGUAAUUGCUCAUUACUCACUUUCUAGAAAUGGGUAUAGUUUCCACUUCUUCGAUCGGUUGCGUUCUUGGAGAAGUCUGUCGAAUCAGACUGAAACUGAAGCUUAUCUAAGUGAAGAAUUGGAUGCCGGUUUAUCGGACGGAAAGAGCUUUCUCUCCCAGAAUAGCCCAGCGGGUUUAUCUGAUUCAGUCAGCAACAAUGUGGUUUCAGACAGCUCAGCCUCAAGGAAUAAGCAGGAGCGAGUUAUAGUUCCAGUUGCUGUAGAUCCUACCCAGCAGGAAGCUGUGAUGGUUCUGGAAAGACUGAAGAUCAUGGAAGAAGACAUCAAGGCCAAUGAAUUAUGCACUAGAAGGGAAUAUGCUAGAUGGCUUGUUCGAUUAAGUUCUUCACUGGAAAGGAACCCAAAACAUAGAAUUUUUCCGUCUUUGUCACUUUCUGGGUCUAAAGUCGCUGCCUUUGAUGAUGUGAGUGUUGAAGACCCGGACUUCGGUGCCAUCCAAGCGCUAGCAGAGGCUGGUAUCAUCUCUAGCAAGCUCUCAGGGGAAAAUUCCAGUUCUUUCUUCUCAGAUAGGCACGGCAUGUUAUUCUUUCCCGAGAGGUUCAUCUCACGGCAAGAUCUGAUAAACUGGAGAGUGCAAUUAGAAUAUGAUUUUGUCCCAGGACUAGAAGAAGAGAUAUCAAAGAAAAAAGUUGGCUUCAUGGAUACGAGGGAGAUCAGUGCAAAUAUAUCGGCAGAAUUUUUCAUGGACUUGUUGGCUGGUGACAGGAGCAUAAUGAGAAAAGUUUUUGGACAGAGCAGGCGAUUUCAACCUAAUAAACCUUCCACGAAAGCACAAGCUGCUAUAGCAUUGACCAGUGGCCGGAUGACGUCAGCAAUUCAGACGGAACUAGCAAGACUGGAGACUGAGAAUUUUUCGAGGGUGGUUGAGAUGGAAGAAAUUAGGUUUGAGUUAAUUGAAAGGGGUGACAUAAAAAGGCUUUGGGAUGAGAGGCUGAAAGAAGAAGAAACCCGCGGUUUGGAAGUUGAAAAGGACUAUCUUGUGGUAAUUGAUGAUUUAGAGCAAGAGAAGAUAAUUCAGGAGACGACCUUCCAAGAGCAUACGAAAGAGAAAGCAGCUUUGGAUUGUCAGAAGCAACUGAUUUGCCACCUUAGAGAAGAAGUUGAUGAGAUGUCAGACAGACUGGCAUCAGAGAGAGCUAUCUAUGUUCGUGAGCAAUUUGAGAUGCAGGAUACUAUCAGUGAUUUAGAGACCAAGCAUGAAAGGAUGCUGGAUACAAAAUCUAUUCUGGGAGCUGAGAUAGAAGCUUUGCGGAUACUUAGGUAAUGUACCUUGGUGGAUAAUUUGAAAGCAUGCAUACUCAACACAGUUACUCCAGCUCCUAUUAAAAGGCUCGCAUACCAGUCAUAAGGUUCCGGCUUGCGUGUCUUGGGUAGAAGAUGAAGCAAGGAAAAGCCAAGCUCGUGCCAAGGUGCUAGAGGAGCUUGGAAGAAGGUGGAGAUGGGAUGGCCAAGCAUGAUAAAGAAGUGUACAGUGGGUGGCUACUUGAAGUGCUUCUAGCUUAACAGCUACAACUGCAAACUUCCGAUUGACCUUUCAUGCAUUACACAUUCCGGCUAGCGCUAGAUGCGGCUAUAGGAUAUAAUUUUUUUUUUCUGGCAGGACAAAGAAGGUUGAUUUUGCUCUCUUUCUUCCCUCGGAAUCCCCCCGGCACUGUGCGUCCCUCUAUGUGUGUGUCUAUAGACUGUCUGAAAAGAAAUCCUUUGAACAGUUGACACCGAGACUCGAGAUUCUUUGGUCAUUUUUCUUAUCA